UCAACCAGGGAGGGUCAUUGGAAACUGGAGAACUUGAGUGCAGAAGAGGAAAGUGGAAUUCCAUGUGUAGCGGUGAAAUGCGUAGAUAUAUGGAGGAACACCAGUGGCGAAGGCGACUUUCUGGUCUGUAACUGACGCUGAGGCUCGAAAGCAUGGGGAGCAAACAGGAUUAGAUACCCUGGUAGUCCAUGCCGUAAACGAUGAGUGCUAAGUGUUGGAGGGUUUCCGCCCUUCAGUGCUGCAGCUAACGCAUUAAGCACUCCGCCUGGGGAGUACGACCGCAAGGUUGAAACUCAAAGGAAUUGACGGGGGCCCGCACAAGCGGUGGAGCAUGUGGUUUAAUUCGAAGCAACGCGAAGAACCUUACCAGGUCUUGACAUCCUUUGACCACUCUAGAGAUAGAGCUUUCCCUUCGGGGACAAAGUGACAGGUGGUGCAUGGUUGUCGUCAGCUCGUGUCGUGAGAUGUUGGGUUAAGUCCCGCAACGAGCGCAACCCUUAUUAUUAGUUGCCAGCAUUCAGUUGGGCACUCUAGUGAGACUGCCGGUGAUAAACCGGAGGAAGGUGGGGAUGACGUCAAAUCAUCAUGCCCCUUAUGACCUGGGCUACACACGUGCUACAAUGGAUGGUACAACGAGUCGCAAAACCGCGAGGUUAAGCUAAUCUCUUAAAGCCAUUCUCAGUUCGGAUUGUAGGCUGCAAUUCGCCUACAUGAAGCCGGAAUCGCUAGUAAUCGCGGAUCAGAACGCCGCGGUGAAUACGUUCCCGGGCCUUGUACACACCGCCCGUCACACCACGAGAGUUUGUAACACCCAA
RNAcentral lists this ribosomal RNA (815 nucleotides) under Desemzia incerta. Its description in RNAcentral is "bacterial SSU rRNA". It matches the Rfam family "Bacterial small subunit ribosomal RNA", at positions 609 to 1424 of the family's 1533-position model. The record is from RNAcentral. Lineage: Bacteria; Bacillati; Bacillota; Bacilli; Lactobacillales; Carnobacteriaceae.